GAAAGAGCAAAGAAGGAAUAGAACAACUUU
Molecule: ribosomal RNA, 30 nt
Filed under: Zaptyx entospira
Lineage: Eukaryota; Metazoa; Mollusca; Gastropoda; Stylommatophora; Clausiliidae
Description: Stereozaptyx entospira partial 5.8S rRNA
Source: RNAcentral